Molecule: unclassified non-coding RNA, 253 nt
Filed under: uncultured Acidobacteriota bacterium
Lineage: Bacteria; Pseudomonadati; Acidobacteriota
Description: uncultured Acidobacteria bacterium contains 16S-23S intergenic spacer region
Rfam family: Bacterial small subunit ribosomal RNA
Source: RNAcentral
UACGGAGGGGGCGAGCGUUAUUCGGAAUCAUUGGGCGUAAAGGGCGUGUAGGCGGCCUCGUGUGUCCUCUGUGAAAGCCCUCGGCUCAACCGAGGAAUCGCAUGGGAAACUGCGGGGCUUGAGUCCGGGAGAGGAGAGCGGAAUUCCCAGUGUAGCGGUGAAAUGCGUAGAUACUGGGAGGAACACCAGUGGCGAAGGCGGCUCUCUGGACCGGUACUGACGCUGAGACGCGAAAGCUAGGGGAGCAAACGGG